This 648-nucleotide ribosomal RNA is filed under the name uncultured bacterium. RNAcentral's name for it is "bacterial SSU rRNA". It matches the Rfam family "Bacterial small subunit ribosomal RNA", at positions 220 to 882 of the family's 1533-position model. The record is from RNAcentral.
GAAAGAUGGCCUCGCGUCUGAUUAGCUAGUUGGCGGGGUAACGGCCCACCAAGGCGACGAUCAGUAGCCGGUCUGAGAGGAUGAACGGCCACAUUGGGACUGAGAUACGGCCCAGACUCCUACGGGAGGCAGCAGUGGGGAAUAUUGGGCAAUGGGGGAAACCCUGACCCAGCAACGCCGCGUGAAGGAAGAAGGCCCUCGGGUUGUAAACUUCUUUUACCAGGGACGAAGGACGUGACGGUACCUGGAGAAAAAGCAACGGCUAACUACGUGCCAGCAGCCGCGGUAAUACGUAGGUUGCAAGCGUUGUCCGGAUUUACUGGGUGUAAAGGGCGUGUAGGCGGAGAUGCAAGUUGGAAGUGAAAUCCCGGGGCUCAACCCCGGAACUGCUUUCAAAACUGUAUCCCUUGAGUAUCGGAGAGGCAAGCGGAAUUCCUAGUGUAGCGGUGAAAUGCGUAGAUAUUAGGAGGAACACCAGUGGCGAAGGCGGCUUGCUGGACGACAACUGACGCUGAGGCGCGAAAGCGUGGGGAGCAAACAGGAUUAGAUACCCUGGUAGUCCACGCUGUAAACGAUGAAUACUAGGUGUGGGAGGACUGACCCCUUCCGUGCCGCAGUUAACACAAUAAGUAUUCCACCUGGGGAGUA